Molecule: ribosomal RNA, 501 nt
Filed under: uncultured bacterium
Lineage: Bacteria
Description: partial 16S ribosomal RNA
Rfam family: Bacterial small subunit ribosomal RNA
Source: RNAcentral
AUUGAACGCUGGCGGCAGGCUUAACACAUGCAAGUCGAGCGGGGGAAGGUAGCUUGCUACUGGACCUAGCGGCGGACGGGCGAGUAAUGCUUAGGAAUCUGCCUAUUAGUGGGGGACAACAUCUCGAAAGGGAUGCUAAUACCGCAUACGUCCUACGGGAGAAAGCAGGGGAUCUUCGGACCUUGCGCUAAUAGAUGAGCCUAAGUCGGAUUAGCUAGUUGGUGGGGUAAAGGCCUACCAAGGCGACGAUCUGUAGCGGGUCUGAGGGGAUGAUCCGCCACACGGGGACUGAGACACGGCCCAGACUCCUACGGGAGGCAGCAGUGGGGAAUAUUGGACAAUGGGGGGAACCCUGAUCCAGCCAUGCCGCGUGUGUGAAGAAGGCCUUAUGGUCGUAAAGCACUUUAAGCGAGGAGGAGGCUACUUUAGUUAAUACCUAGAGAUAGUGGACGUUACUCGCAGAAUAAGCACCGGCUAACUCUGUGCCAGCAGCCGCCGUAA